Lagenorhynchus albirostris (white-beaked dolphin) is the source of this 366-nucleotide long non-coding RNA. RefSeq lists it as uncharacterized. The transcript is spliced from 3 exons. NCBI's taxonomy places the organism in Eukaryota, Metazoa, Chordata, Mammalia, Artiodactyla, Delphinidae. The record is from RefSeq and is a predicted model, not a curated record.
AUUAUCGACAUCUGGUUUUGUUAAAAUCUCCAUGCGUGGUCUUUACUGCCCAGUUUGCUGGGAAAGGUGCACGAGUCAUCACCGUCCAGCAUCUGUGAACAAACCCCAAGGGGCCGAGGGCAGCCCUGUGAGAUAGUCAUGAAGCUGUCUGGCGAGCUGCCCACCACGGUGACGAAGGAGAUGUGGAGAAAGCUAUGGUUCACCCAGAGCGCCGGGCACUACCUGCAUGUCAUCUCCAACGUGGGGGAGGGCCCUGAAAUCUCUCUGGUGCAGCAGCGCACCCUGGUGGUAGAAAGGCUUGUGUCAACAACACACAUCCCUGGGGCGGGGAGGAGUGAAGUCCGUGGGGAAACGCGCGGAAGCCAG